This 466-nucleotide ribosomal RNA is filed under the name uncultured bacterium. Its description in RNAcentral is "partial 16S ribosomal RNA". It matches the Rfam family "Bacterial small subunit ribosomal RNA", at positions 28 to 507 of the family's 1533-position model. The record is from RNAcentral.
GACGAACGCUGGCGGUGUGCUUAACACAUGCAAGUCGAACGGUAAGGCCCUUUCGGGGGUACACGAGUGGCGAACGGGUGAGUAACACGUGAGUAACCUGCCCUCAUCUCUGGGAUAACAGUCGGAAACGGUUGCUAAUACUGGAUAUGAGCUUGCAAGGCAUCUUGUGGGUUGGAAAGAUUUUUUUGGUUGGGGAUGGACUCGCGGCCUAUCAGCUUGUUGGUGAGGUAGUGGCUCACCAAGGCUUCGACGGGUAGCCGGCCUGAGAGGGCGACCGGCCACAUUGGGACUGAGAUACGGCCCAAACUCCUACGGGAGGCAGCAGUGGGGAAUAUUGCACAAUGGACGGAAGUCUGAUGCAGCAACGCCGCGUGCGGGAUGACGGCCUUCGGGUUGUAAACCGCUUUCAAUUGUGACGAAGCUUUUUGUGACGGUAGCAGUAGAAGAGGCACCGGCUAACUACGUG